UUAAAGUUUUAUUCUUGCUUUAUUUUAAGCUCUUUGGAUGUUUUAUAUAUGGCUUUAUUUAGUUAAAUACUUUGGUUUUGUAGUAAUUAUUAUUGAGUAUUAAGUUAUCUUAGAUUCAGCAAUUCUUUAAGGAAAGGCUAAUGUCGUGCCAGCAGCCGCGGUUAUACGUUAUUUUCAUGUUUAAAUUUUUUGUGGGCAGGGGUUUAAUUAAUAAGUGUUUCGUGCUUCUAAUGUUUGGUGGAAUAUUAUUAGAAUAAUCUGCGCUUUUUUUUGUCUGCUAAGGCUAAUGUAUAAACUAGGAUUAGAUACCCUAUUAUUUUAGAAUUAAUAUUUGCCUCAGGGUAGUAGUAGGAUUUUUGUGAAACUCAAAGAAUUUGGCGGCAUUUUAUCUUUUUAGAGGAACCUGUCCUAUAAUUGAUAUUACACGUUUGGCUCAACUAAUUAUAAUUGUUUGUAUAUUUCCGUUAUUAGAAUAUUUAUAUAUGAUAUUUUCGGUUUUUUUAAUUGGAAUUUAUUUCAGGUCAAGGUGCAGCUUAUUGGUUAGUAAGAGAUGGGUUACAAUAUUUGAAUUUAUACGGAUUUCUUUUUAUAAUUUUGGAUUGAAGGUGGAUUUAUUAGUAAAUUUUAAUAAUUAUUAUUUUUGAAUUAGCCCUGAUUUGUGUACAUAUCGCCCGUCACUCUCAUUUUUGAGAUAAGUCGUAACAAAGUAGAUUUACUGGAAAGUGAGUCUGGAUUCAG
Molecule: non-coding RNA, 738 nt
Filed under: Scelimena sp. 1 XDL-2023a
Lineage: Eukaryota; Metazoa; Arthropoda; Insecta; Orthoptera; Tetrigidae
Source: RNAcentral